GCUCAGAACGAACGCUGGCGGCGUGCUUAACACAUGCAAGUCGAACGCGAAAGGGACUUCGGUCCUGAGUAAAGUGGGGCCGGGUGAGUAACUGUGGAUAAUCACCGAUGGACCGGGAUAACUUUCAAAGGGGUGCAAUACGGAUAAGACCACGGCUUCUAGGGGGCGCGUAAAAGGUGGGGACUUCGGGCUACGUCUCGAUGAGUCCGCUACAUUAGCAGUUGGUAGGGUAAGAGCUACAAGGCGACAUGGUUAGCUGGUCGAGAGGAUGAUCGCCCCCCUGGAACUGAGACACGGUCCAGACUCCUACGGGAGGCAGCAGUGGGGAAUUUUGCGCAUGGGGGAAACCCUGACGCAGCAACGCCGCGUGAGUGAUGAAGGCCUUCGGGUCUAAAGCUCUGUCGAGGGGAAGAAAUGCAGGGGUGCUAAUAUCUCUUUGCUUGACGGUACCCUCAAGGAAGCACCGGCUAACUCCCGUGCCAGCAGCCGCGGUAAUACGGAGGGUGCGAGCGUUGUUCGGAAUUAUUGGGCGUAAAGCGCGUGUAGGCGGUUUGGUAAGUCUGAUGUGAAAGCCCCGGGCCAACCUGGGAAGUGCUUUGGAAACUGUCAGACUUGAAUACGGGAGAGGGUAGUGGAAUUCCUAGUGUAGAGUGAAAUCCGUAGAUAUUAGAGGAACACGGUGGGCGAAGCGGCUACCUGGACCGAUAUUGACGCGAGACGC
RNAcentral lists this ribosomal RNA (721 nucleotides) under uncultured bacterium. Its description in RNAcentral is "bacterial SSU rRNA". It matches the Rfam family "Bacterial small subunit ribosomal RNA", at positions 22 to 754 of the family's 1533-position model. The record is from RNAcentral.